UACGUAGGGGGCAAGCGUUGUCCGGAUUUAUUGGGCGUAAAGAGCGUGUAGGCGGCCUGACAGGUCUGCUGUGAAAACUCGAGGCUCAACCUCGAGAUGUCGGCGGAAACCGUCUGGCUAGAGUCCGGAAGAGGAGAGCGGAAUUCCUGGUGUAGCGGUGAAAUGCGCAGAUAUCAGGAGGAACACCCGUGGCGAAGGCGGCUCUCUGGGACGGUACUGACGCUGAGACGCGAAAGCGUGGGGAGCGAACAGG
This 253-nucleotide ribosomal RNA is filed under the name uncultured bacterium. Its description in RNAcentral is "partial 16S ribosomal RNA". It matches the Rfam family "Bacterial small subunit ribosomal RNA", at positions 524 to 776 of the family's 1533-position model. The record is from RNAcentral.